RNAcentral lists this long non-coding RNA (299 nucleotides) under Helianthus annuus (common sunflower). RNAcentral's name for it is "sRNA HanXRQr2_Chr09g0372621". Lineage: Eukaryota; Viridiplantae; Streptophyta; Magnoliopsida; Asterales; Asteraceae. The record is from RNAcentral.
UCCCAACCCUAACUUACGAACUACCACUUUUUCCUCUUAUCUUGCUACUGCCGACGAAGAACAAGACCACCCAUGGCUUCCGGUGUUCGGUUCAAGGCUCUUUUAUGGUCCCCUCCAUCGCUAGGUCGCUAAGGUACUUGCCACGGUUAGGUGCACUGCGUGAUGUCAAAAACCUUUUCGUCUCGUAACAUUGCAUUUAUUACAUUUAUUUUUUGUUGGAUAGGGCAUUUGUUUUGACGUACGUUUUUACCUUACAUUUAUUACUCUUCCGCAUUACUUUUAAACUGUUGACUUUGGUA